Long non-coding RNA from Salvelinus fontinalis (brook trout), 251 nucleotides. RefSeq lists it as uncharacterized. NCBI's taxonomy places the organism in Eukaryota, Metazoa, Chordata, Actinopteri, Salmoniformes, Salmonidae. The transcript is spliced from 4 exons. The record is from RefSeq and is a predicted model, not a curated record.
CUCAUAGUAAUGAAUGAGACAGGACGAGACAGAUAGGCAGCGUUUCUCAGCCAGUCCAAGUGAAUCAUUUGUAUGGAUUUAUACAAAAAAGAAACAUUGCUCGGAUAUUGUCCCCUGGACCUUGGAGGACUUUUGGUGUGGAUGAUGUUCAGGGCCGACCAAAGCAAGGUUUCUCAAACAACUGUGGGGUGUUUGUUUUGAUGACGAUACUGAAAACAAAAUGCAGGGCGAACUGGGAGCUGUGCACUGGG